Molecule: ribosomal RNA, 253 nt
Filed under: uncultured bacterium
Lineage: Bacteria
Description: partial 16S ribosomal RNA
Rfam family: Bacterial small subunit ribosomal RNA
Source: RNAcentral
UACGGAGGGGGCUAGCGUUGUUCGGAAUUACUGGGCGUAAAGCGCACGUAGGCGGACUUGUAAGUCAGGGGUGAAAUCCCGAGGCUCAACUUCGGAACUGCCUUUGAUACUGCAAGUCUCGAGUCCGGAAGAGGUGAGUGGAAUUCCCAGUGUAGAGGUGAAAUUCGUAGAUAUUGGGAAGAACACCGGUGGCGAAGGCGGCCAUCUGGCCCGUAAUUGACGCUGAGGCGCGAAAGCGUGGGGAGCAAACAGG